GAAUUCAGAAGUAAAGGUGUC
This 21-nucleotide non-coding RNA is filed under the name Rattus norvegicus (Norway rat). The record is from RNAcentral. Lineage: Eukaryota; Metazoa; Chordata; Mammalia; Rodentia; Muridae.